CCUACGGGAGGCUGCAGUCGAGAAUCAUUCACAAUGGGGGAAAGCCUGAUGCAGCAACGCCGCGUGAAGGAAGAAGGGUUUCGGCUCGUAAACUUCUAUUAUCAGGGACGAAAGAAAUGACGGUACCUGAAUAAGAAGCCCCGGCUAACUACGUGCCAGCAGCCGCGGUAAUACGUAGGGGGCAAGCGUUAUCCGGAUUUACUGGGUGUAAAGGGUGAGUAGGCGGCAUAGUAAGCCAGAUGUGAAAGCCUUGGGCUUAACCCGAGGAUUGCAUUUGGAACUGUCAAGCUUGAGUACAGGAGAGGAAAGCGGAAUUCCGAGUGUAGCGGUGAAAUGCGUAGAUAUUAGGAAGAACACCAGUGGCGAAGGCGGCUUUCUGGACUGAAACUGACGCCGAGGCGCGAAAGCGUGGGGAGCGAACAGGAUUAGAUACCCGAGUAGUC
Molecule: ribosomal RNA, 443 nt
Filed under: uncultured bacterium
Lineage: Bacteria
Description: partial 16S ribosomal RNA
Rfam family: Bacterial small subunit ribosomal RNA
Source: RNAcentral